ACCGGAGAAUGUUAUCACGGGAGACACACGGCGGGUGCUAACGUCCGUCGUGAAGAGGGAAACAACCCAGACCGCCAGCUAAGGUCCCAAAGUCAUGGUUAAGUGGGAAACGAUGUGGGAAGGCCCAGACAGCCAGGAUGUUGGCUUAGAAGCAGCCAUCAUUUAAAGAAAGCGUAAUAGCUCACUGGUCGAGUCGGCCUGCGCGGAAGAUGUAACGGGGCUAAACCAUGCACCGAAGCUGCGGCAGCGACACUAUGUGUUGUUGGGUAGGGGAGCGUUCUGUAAGCCGUCGAAGGUGUGCUGUGAGGCAUGCUGGAGGUAUCAGAAGUGCGAAUGCUGACAUAAGUAACGAUAAACAAGGUGAAAAACCUUGUCGCCGGAAGACCAAGGGUUCCUGUUCAACGUUAAUCGGAGCAGGGUGAGUCGACCCCUAAGGCGAGGCCGAAAGGCGUAGUCGAUGGGAAACAGGUUAAUAUUCCUGUACUUGGUGUUACUGCGAAGGGGGGACGGAGAAGGCUAUAUCAGCCGGGCGACGGUUGUCCCGGUUUAAGCGUGUAGGUGUGUGUUCCAGGCAAAUCCGGUUCACUUUACACUGAGGCGUGACGACGAGGCACUACGGUGCUGAAGUGAUAAAUGCCCUGCUUCCAGGAAAAGCCUCUAAGCAUCAGGUAACACAAAAUCGUACCCCAAACCGACACAGGUGGUCAGGUAGAGAAUACCAAGGCGCUUGAGAGAACUCGGGUGAAGGAACUAGGCAAAAUGGUGCCGUAACUUCGGGAGAAGGCACGCUGGCGGUAGGUGAAGGGACUUGCUCCCGGAGCUGAAGCCAGUCGAAGAUACCAGCUGGCUGCAACUGUUUAUUAAAAACACAGCACUGUGCAAACACGAAAGUGGACGUAUACGGUGUGACGCCUGCCCGGUGCCGGAAGGUUAAUUGAUGGGGUUAUCCGCAAGGAGAAGCUCUUGAUCGAAGCCCCGGUAAACGGCGGCCGUAACUAUAACGGUCCUAAGGUAGCGAAAUUCCUUGUCGGGUAAGUUCCGACCUGCACGAAUGGCGUAAUGAUGGCCAGGCUGUCUCCACCCGAGACUCAGUGAAAUUGAAAUCGCUGUGAAGAUGCAGUGUACCCGCGGCAAGACGGAAAGACCCCGUGAACCUUUACUACAGCUUGACACUGAACACUGAGCCUUGAUGUGUAGGAUAGGUGGGAGGCUUUGAAGCGUGGACGCCAGUCUGCGUGGAGCCGGCCUUGAAAUACCACCCUUUAAUGUUUGGUGUUCUAACGUAGGCCCGURAUCCGGGCUGCGGACAGUGUCUGGUGGGUAGUUUGACUGGGGCGGUCUCCUCCCAAAGCGUAACGGAGGAGCACGAAGGUUGGCUAAUCCUGGUCGGACAUCAGGAGGUUAGUGCAAUGGCAUAAGCCAGCUUGACUGCGAGAGUGACGGCUCGAGCAGGUGCGAAAGCAGGUCAUAGUGAUCCGGUGGUUCUGAAUGGAAGGGCCAUCGCUCAACGGAUAAAAGGUACUCCGGGGAUAACAGGCUGAUACCGCCCAAGAGUUCAUAUCGACGGCGGUGUUUGGCACCUCGAUGUCGGCUCAUCACAUCCUGGGGCUGAAGUAGGUCCCAAGGGUACGGCUGUUCGCCGUUUAAAGUGGUACGCGAGCUGGGUUUAGAACGUCGUGAGACAGUUCGGUCCCUAUCUGCCGUGGGCGCUGGAGAAUUGAGGGGGGUUGCUCCUAGUACGAGAGGACCGGAGUGAACGCACCGCUGGUGUCCGGGUUGUCACGCCAGUGGCACUGCCCGGUAGCUAAGUGCGGAAAAGAUAAGUGCUGAAAGCAUCUAAGCACGAAACUUGCCCCGAGAUGAGUUCUCCCUGAGCCUUUAAGGCUCCUGAAGGGACGUUGAAGACGACGACGUUGAUAGGCCGGGUGUGUAAGCGCAGCGAUGCGUUGAGCUUACCGGUACUAAUGA
Molecule: ribosomal RNA, 1968 nt
Filed under: Pantoea sp. AMG 501
Lineage: Bacteria; Pseudomonadati; Pseudomonadota; Gammaproteobacteria; Enterobacterales; Erwiniaceae
Description: bacterial LSU rRNA
Rfam family: Bacterial large subunit ribosomal RNA
Source: RNAcentral